This 741-nucleotide ribosomal RNA is filed under the name Salmonella enterica. Its description in RNAcentral is "partial 23S ribosomal RNA". It matches the Rfam family "Bacterial large subunit ribosomal RNA", at positions 2062 to 2802 of the family's 2925-position model. The record is from RNAcentral. Lineage: Bacteria; Pseudomonadati; Pseudomonadota; Gammaproteobacteria; Enterobacterales; Enterobacteriaceae.
CAGUGUACCCGCGGCAAGACGGAAAGACCCCGUGAACCUUUACUAUAGCUUGACACUGAACAUUGAGCCUUGAUGUGUAGGAUAGGUGGGAGGCUUUGAAGUGUGGACGCCAGUCUGCAUGGAGCCGACCUUGAAAUACCACCCUUUAAUGUUUGAUGUUCUAACGUGGACCCGUAAUCCGGGUUGCGGACAGUGUCUGGUGGGUAGUUUGACUGGGGCGGUCUCCUCCUAAAGAGUAACGGAGGAGCACGAAGGUUGGCUAAUCCUGGUCGGACAUCAGGAGGUUAGUGCAAUGGCAUAAGCCAGCUUGACUGCGAGCGUGACGGCGCGAGCAGGUGCGAAAGCAGGUCAUAGUGAUCCGGUGGUUCUGAAUGGAAGGGCCAUCGCUCAACGGAUAAAAGGUACUCCGGGGAUAACAGGCUGAUACCGCCCAAGAGUUCAUAUCGACGGCGGUGUUUGGCACCUCGAUGUCGGCUCAUCACAUCCUGGGGCUGAAGUAGGUCCCAAGGGUAUGGCUGUUCGCCAUUUAAAGUGGUACGCGAGCUGGGUUUAGAACGUCGUGAGACAGUUCGGUCCCUAUCUGCCGUGGGCGCUGGAGAACUGAGGGGGGCUGCUCCUAGUACGAGAGGACCGGAGUGGACGCAUCACUGGUGUUCGGGUUGUCAUGCCAAUGGCACUGCCCGGUAGCUAAAUGCGGAAGAGAUAAGUGCUGAAAGCAUCUAAGCACGAAACUUGCCCCGA